AUUGAACGCUGGCGGCAUGCUUUACACAUGCAAGUCGAGCGGUAACAGGCCGCAAGGUGCUGACGAGUGGCGAACGGGUGAGUAAUGCAUCGGAACGUGCCCAGUCGUGGGGGAUAACUACUCGAAAGAGUAGCUAAUACCGCAUACGAUCUAUGGAUGAAAGCGGGGGACCGUAAGGCCUCGCGCGAUUGGAGCGGCCGAUGUCAGAUUAGGUAGUUGGUGGGGUAAAGGCUCACCAAGCCAACGAUCUGUAGCUGGUCUGAGAGGACGACCAGCCACACUGGGACUGAGACACGGCCCAGCCUCCUACGGGAGGCAGCAGUGGGGAAUUUUGGACAAUGGGGGCAAGCUUGAUCCAGAAAUGCCGCGUGCAGGAAGAAGGCCUUCGGGUUGUAAACUGCUUUUGUACGGAAGGAAACGGCUCUGGUUAAUAACCGGGGCUAAUGACGGUACCGUAAGAAUAAGCACCGGCUAACUACGUG
RNAcentral lists this ribosomal RNA (482 nucleotides) under uncultured bacterium. Its description in RNAcentral is "partial 16S ribosomal RNA". It matches the Rfam family "Bacterial small subunit ribosomal RNA", at positions 30 to 507 of the family's 1533-position model. The record is from RNAcentral.